UACGGAGGGGGCAAGCGUUGUCCGGACUUACUGGGCGUAAAGGGUGCGUAGGCGGUUGCAUGCGUCCGCGCUGAAAUCCCGAGGCUCAACCUCGGGGCGCGUGCGGAUACGAUGCGACUUGAGGCUCGGAGAGGGUGGGAGAACUCCUGGUGUAGUGGUGAAAUGCGUAGAGAUCAUGAGGAAGACCAGUGGCGAAGGCGGGUCUCUGGACAGUUCCUGACACUGAGGCACGAAGGCCAGGGGAGCAAACGGG
This 253-nucleotide ribosomal RNA is filed under the name uncultured bacterium. RNAcentral's name for it is "partial 16S ribosomal RNA". It matches the Rfam family "Bacterial small subunit ribosomal RNA", at positions 524 to 776 of the family's 1533-position model. The record is from RNAcentral.